GAGGCAAGGCAGGGCAGGAUGGAUAUAGAUCUGUAACAGUUUGGGUCUAGAGGCAGGGCAGGAUGGAUAUAGAUCUGUAACAGUUUGGCUCUAGAGGCAAGGCAGGAUGGAUAUAGGUCUGUAACAGUUUGGGUCUAGAGGCAGGGCAGGGCAGGAUGGAUAUAGGUCUAACAGUUUGGGUCUAGAGGCAGGGCAGGAUGGAUAUAGGUCUGUAACAGUUUGGGUCUAGAGGCAGGGCAGGAUGGAUAUAGGUCUGUAACAGUUUGGGUCUAGAGGCAGGGCAGGGCAGGAUGGAUAUAGGUCUGUAACAGUUUGGGUCUAGAGGCAGGGCAGGAUGGAUAUAGGUCUAACAGUUUGGGUCUAGAGGCAGGGCAGGAUGGAUAUAGGUCUAACAGUUUGGGUCUAGAGGCAGGGCAGGAUGGAUAUAGGUCUGUAACAGUUUGGGUCUAGAGGCAGGGCAGGAUGGAUAUAGGUCUGUAACAGUUUGGGUCUAGAGGCAGGGCAGGAUGGAUAUAGGUCUGUAACAGUUUGGGUCUAGAGACAGGGCAGGAUGGAUAUAGGUCUGUAACAGUUUGGGUCUAGAGGCAGGGCAGGAUGGAUAUAGGUCUAACAGUUUGGGUCUAGAGGCAGGGCAGGAUGGAUAUAGGUCUAACAGUUUGGGUCUAGAGGCAGGGCAGGAUGGAUAUAGGUCUGUAACAGUUUGGGUCUAGAGGCAGGGCAGGAUGGAUAUAGGUCUGUAACAGUUUGGGUCUAGAGGCAGGGCAGGAUGGAUAUAGGUCUAUAACAGUUUGGGUCUAGAGGCAGAGCAGGGCAGGAUGGAUAUACGUCUGUAACAGUUUGGGUCUAGAGGCAGGGCAGGAUGGAUAUAGGUCUGUAACAGUUUGGGUCUAGAGACAGGGCAGGAUGGAUAUAGGUCUGUAACAGUUUGGGUCUAGAGGCAGGGCAGGAUGGAUAUAGGUCUGUAACAGUUUGGGUCUAGAGGCAGGGCAGGAUGGAUAUAGGUCUAUAACAGUUUGGGUCUAGAGGCAGAGCAGGGCAGGAUGGAUAUACGUCUGUAACAGUUUGGGUCUAGAGGCAGGGCAGGAUGGAUAUAGGUCUGUAACAGUUUGGGUCUAGAGGCAGGGCAGGAUGGAUAUAGGUCUGUAACAGUUUGGGUCUAGAGGCAGGGCAGGAUGGAUAUAGGUCUAACAGUUUGGGUCUAGAGGCAGGGCAGGAUGGAUAUAGGUCUGUAACAGUUUGGGUCUAGAGGCAGGGCAGGAUGGAUAUAGGUCUAUAACAGUUUGGGUCUAGAGGCAGGGCAGGAUGGAUAUAGGUCUAUAACAGUUUGGGUCUAGAGGCAGGGCAGGAUGGAUAUAGGUCUGUAACAGUUUGGGUCUAGAGACAGGGCAGGAUGGAUAUAGGUCUAUAACAGUUUGGGUCUAGAGGCAGGGCAGGAUGGAUAUAGGUCUGUAACAGUUUGGGUCUAGAGACAGGGCAGGAUGGAUAUAGGUCUAUAACAGUUUGGGUCUAGAGGCAGGGCAGGAUGGAUAUAGGUCUGUAACAGUUUGGGUCUAGAGGCAGGGCAGGGCAGGAUGGAUAUAGGUCUGUAACAGUUUGGGUCUAGAGACAGGGCAGGAUGGAUAUAGGUCUAUAACAGUUUGGGUCUAGAGGCAGGGCAGGAUGGAUAUAGGUCUGUAACAGUUUGGGUCUAGAGGCAGGGCAGGGCAGGAUGGAUAUAGGUCUGUAACAGUUUGGGUCUAGAGGCAGGGCAGGAUGGAUAUAGGUCUAUAACAGUUUGGGUCUAGAGACAG
Long non-coding RNA from Oncorhynchus keta (chum salmon), 1790 nucleotides. RefSeq lists it as uncharacterized. The record is from RefSeq and is a predicted model, not a curated record. Lineage: Eukaryota; Metazoa; Chordata; Actinopteri; Salmoniformes; Salmonidae. The transcript is spliced from 5 exons.